Molecule: ribosomal RNA, 370 nt
Filed under: uncultured Caulobacteraceae bacterium
Lineage: Bacteria; Pseudomonadati; Pseudomonadota; Alphaproteobacteria; Caulobacterales; Caulobacteraceae
Description: bacterial SSU rRNA
Rfam family: Bacterial small subunit ribosomal RNA
Source: RNAcentral
UGAGGGGCUGCGUUCUCGGAUUCUGGGCGUAAAGGGAGCGUAGGCGGAAUUUAAGUAGGGGUGAAAUCCCGGGGCUCAACCUCGGAAUUGCCUUUGAUACUGGGUGUCUUGAGUAUGAGAGAGGUAUGUGGAACUCCGAGUGUAGAGGUGAAAUUCGUAGAUAUUCGGAAGAACACCAGUGGCGAAGGCGACAUACUGGCUCAUUACUGACGCUGAGGCUCGAAAGCGUGGGGAGCAAACAGGAUUAGAUACCCUGGUAGUCCACGCCGUAAACGAUGAUUGCUAGUUGUCGGGAUGCAUGCAUUUCGGUGACGCAGCUAACGCAUUAAGCAAUCCGCCUGGGGAGUACGGUCGCAAGAUUAAAACUCAA